This 72-nucleotide transfer RNA is filed under the name Camelus ferus (Wild Bactrian camel). It matches the Rfam family "tRNA". Rfam says of the family: Transfer RNA (tRNA) molecules are approximately 80 nucleotides in length. Their secondary structure includes four short double-helical elements and three loops (D, anti-codon, and T loops). The record is from Rfam by way of RNAcentral. Lineage: Eukaryota; Metazoa; Chordata; Mammalia; Artiodactyla; Camelidae.
GAGGGUAUAGCUCAGUGGUAGAGCAUGUACUUAGCGUGCGCCAGGUCCUGGGUUCAAUCCCCAGCACCACCA